Molecule: transfer RNA, 67 nt
Filed under: Analcellicampa danfengensis
Lineage: Eukaryota; Metazoa; Arthropoda; Insecta; Hymenoptera; Tenthredinidae
Description: tRNA-Glu
Source: RNAcentral
AUUUAUAUAGUUUAAUUUUUAAAACAUUACAUUUUCAUUGUAAAAAUAAAAUAUAUUUUUAUAAAUA